Molecule: long non-coding RNA, 1027 nt
Filed under: Olea europaea subsp. europaea
Lineage: Eukaryota; Viridiplantae; Streptophyta; Magnoliopsida; Lamiales; Oleaceae
Source: RNAcentral
ACAGGAGUUCAUGUCCCAGCUACUGCAAUCAUAACAAGUAGUCAUGCACCAUAAUAUAGCAAAACGAAUUUUGAUAACAUCCUAUGUUACAUGGUAAGUUCCAUUGGAUAGAAUUCUCAACGUACUAAUUCUCUAGACAGCAUGAAACAUAGUUUUGUUCUUCUGUAAUUCAUGAUUCGCAUAUUGAACCAGUAAAGCAAAAGUUCUCUAAUGAUUUUGACAUUGAACAAUUUUAAGUGAUCUUGUUUCUCUUCUGCUCAGGAUUAUGCCAAUUAAACUUCCAGUGGUACCAAUCAAUUGGAGAAAGGACAUAGCGCUUUCAUAGAUGAAACAUGUUGUAAGCUUGAUUUGUUGAUCCUGAUAACGAUAGUGAUAUGCAGGACAAACAUGGUUAUAGCUUGUCCAAGUUGAAAAGAAAUAGUUCAUUUGGUCUCAGAUGCUAUGAGAAAAUAAUUUAAAAAGAAUAGAAGCAGCAAUGGAACAGGUCGAUAAUCGAACACAGGUAACAAUCUUCUCCUAUAAAUUUGUUUGUGCUAAAUAGCUAUAGUAAUGUAGGAUAUUGAUAAUAUUAGUGUUACAGGAAUAGCUGCAGCCAGUCUUGGAAAAUCAUCAACGAUGCUGUACAGCUAGCUAAACUGUACAAUAUGCUAUUUAUUCAACCACAUGGUGGGUUCACACCACAACACACUUGGACAUUGCAAUACCACUUUUGGACAUGGAAUGGUGCUAACCUUAUAGUCUCUGAUAAAUCACAAACAACAAUUGAAAUGCCAUUCAAGAAUUUCUUACCAAAUCUGAAAUUUGUUGUAUUACAUGGAAUAAAUCUCAAUUAAAAUGUAAUGGGUUCUAUUUCGGUAAUCCUAGUGGCUCUCACACUAAAUUUCAAGUUUUGGUGCAUGUUUGUGUAUGAAUUUCUAUUUAUUUUCGUCAUAUGUAGUUUCUUUCUCUUAUAGUUAAUAGGAUAUCGAGAAAAGUUUGGUGGAGUUAGAAGUUUGAAUCUAAACUUUUAGCCCUUGUUUGAGCCCCA